This is a long non-coding RNA of Perca fluviatilis (European perch), 268 nucleotides long. RefSeq lists it as uncharacterized. Lineage: Eukaryota; Metazoa; Chordata; Actinopteri; Perciformes; Percidae. The record is from RefSeq and is a predicted model, not a curated record. The transcript is spliced from 3 exons.
AGCCUUCCACAUCGGGCGCAGGAUUGGGCCGCCGAGGGUCCACUUCUUCCUCUCCCUCCCACUCAGAAAGAACCAGCUCCUCCUCCUCCCUGUCUGUUGGGCCCACGACAUCCACCGGUCACACCGCUGCAAAGAGGAGACUGGAGCAGACAGUCUGGCGGUGUGGCCGGUGCAGGGAACCCGAACCUCCAGAGGCUCCAGAGGGAUUGGUGUCGUGGGUCCAGUGUGACAACUGCCACAAGUGGUUUCACACCACUUGUGUCAGCUG